GACGUAGGGGGCCAGCGUUGUUCGGAAUUACUGGGUGUAAAGGGUUCGUAGGCGGUGCGGCAAGUUGGGAGUGAAAUCUCUGGGCUUAACCCAGAGGCUGCUUCCAAAACUGCUGUGCUUGAGUGUGGGAGAGGCGCGUGGAAUUGCAGGUGUAGCGGUGAAAUGCGUAGAUAUCUGCAGGAACACCCGUGGCGAAAGCGGCGCGCUGGACCACUACUGACGCUGAGGAACGAAGGCCAGGGGAGCAAACGGG
Molecule: ribosomal RNA, 253 nt
Filed under: uncultured bacterium
Lineage: Bacteria
Description: partial 16S ribosomal RNA
Rfam family: Bacterial small subunit ribosomal RNA
Source: RNAcentral